This 377-nucleotide unclassified non-coding RNA is filed under the name uncultured Chlamydiaceae bacterium. RNAcentral describes it as "contains 16S-23S intergenic spacer region". Lineage: Bacteria; Pseudomonadati; Chlamydiota; Chlamydiia; Chlamydiales; Chlamydiaceae. The record is from RNAcentral.
UCCUGGUUAACCCAGGCAGUCUCAUUAGAGUUCCCACCCUAAGUGUUGGCAACUAAUGAUAAGGGUUGCGCUCGUUGCGGGACUUAACCCAACACCUCACGGCACGAGCUGACGACAGCCAUGCAGCACCUGUGUAGCAGUCCUUUCGGAAGGCGACAUCUCUGCCGCUGUCCACUACAUGUCAAACCUGGGUAAGGUUCUUCGCGUUGCAUCGAAUUAAACCACAUGCUCCACUGCUUGUGCGGGCCCCCGUCAAUUCUUUUGAGUUUCACCCUUGCGAGUGUACUCCUCAGGCGGCAUACUUAACACGUUAGCUCCGACACAACUGGGGUUGAGACCAGUUACAUCAAGUAUGCAUCGUUUAAGGCUAGGACUAC